GAGGGUAUAGAUCAGUGGUAGAGCACAUGCUUAGUGUGCACAAAGUCCUGGGUUCAAUCCCCAGCACCUCCA
RNAcentral lists this transfer RNA (72 nucleotides) under Camelus ferus (Wild Bactrian camel). It matches the Rfam family "tRNA". Rfam says of the family: Transfer RNA (tRNA) molecules are approximately 80 nucleotides in length. The record is from Rfam by way of RNAcentral. Lineage: Eukaryota; Metazoa; Chordata; Mammalia; Artiodactyla; Camelidae.